RNAcentral lists this long non-coding RNA (3940 nucleotides) under Diabrotica virgifera virgifera (western corn rootworm). RNAcentral's name for it is "uncharacterized LOC126884464". The record is from RNAcentral. Lineage: Eukaryota; Metazoa; Arthropoda; Insecta; Coleoptera; Chrysomelidae.
AGAGGUAUAUAUUAACAUAGAGUGAGCCUUCACUCCGCCACCACUGACGACAAGAUCUCUUGGACUGGUUUGCGGUAUCUCUUUCUAGCACAAUGUAUCGAGAAACAUAACAUGAAACUAAGUGGGGGUACGGGACGGCAAGUGAAAUAAGGAGAAUUACCUUCUUCUUUAUUUAUUAUGACAAGUGACAAGACAACAUAACCCAAAUGCAAAUAAUUUAAUCCAGCCCUAUUUCUAUUUUUGAACAAAAUGCUGGAAAUUGGAAAUAUCUUAGUUUAUUUUUAGUUCUAGCUUAUUUACGGCUAGAUUGAAAAUCAGAAUUUUCUAAUAUUGGUUCAUGAUUAUCAUCAGGGACUUGAUUCGGUUCUUAAACAGAAUCAAUGGCUCUCUGAAAAUAUGAUACUCCAUUGGUCACCCCAAGAGGAAUACAACAAAAUUGGUAAAGGCAUCCACUUUCCUCAAAAGCUGUAAAUGGUUUGUCAAAUUCAUGAAUUGGUAUUUGAUGAUACGCGUUUUUUAAAUCAACUACCAUCUGACGUUUAUGAUUUUCGUUUUUGAAAAAAAUGAUGUAUCACAGACUUAAAAUGCGUUUAUCUCAAACACAGUUAAAUUUAGCGAGAUGAAUGUAGUAUACUUUUUUAAAUAAAAAUAUUAACAUAAUAAAAAUUUUGAUUCAAAAAAUUGAACGUAUUAAAUGAGUGCUGAAAGAUGUAUAUAGCUCCGUUUGGAAAAUAUAUCAUUUUUGGUGGCGAAUUUAGCUUUCUCGUCCCAAAAAACCCCCGCUUACCAAAUUUAGUGUUAUUAUCCCAUGCCUGUUAGGAAAUAUUCAAGAAUAAAUAAAAUAAAAGUUUAACUUUGACACCCUGUAUCUCGGUUAUUAUCAACUUUCGUACUAAGGUAAGUUAGCUUAAAUCAAACUAUUUUAACCCCAGGAAUCUAAGGUUAAGCUAUCGCCCAUUCUUUACCAAACACCCUGUAUAUCGUACUAGUGACGUCAUCCAUUUGGAUGUGAUGAUGUAAUCUACUAUUUUUUUAAAUGGGAAUAGGGGUCGAGUGCUAGCUCAUUUAAAAGGUUAUUCAAUUCCAUAUUCAGUAAUAUAAACAUUAACAUGAUUAAUUAUACAGAGUGUCCAAAGAAUUUUUUUAAAUUAAAUUAAUUGACACAAAAAGAAGAAUGAGCUAGCACACGAUCGCUAUUCUCAUUUAAAAAAAUAGUCGAUUACGUCAUCACGCCCAGAUGGAUGACAUCACUAGUAUGUUGUAUACAGUAGAACCCCGAAAAUCCGAACCAAUUGGGGGGACAGCCUGUUCGGAUUCUGAAAAGUUCGGAUUAUCUGAAAGUCAGCCUAACUAGUAAUUCAAAGCUCUCCUGCAAAACGUGUAACCUGACUAUGAGAAAACCGAAGUAAAUUUAUGUUUAACCUUUAUAAGAGAUGUUCAGCAGACAUCAAGAAAUCAUUACUUUUCUAUUCACCCAUUAUUACCCAAAUGUAUACCUCAUUUUAACUACAAUUAUAACAAAGUACAUUCCUCAUUAAUAACCCGGCUAAAACUUACCCAUGGACUUUUUCCAGAGCAUCUACAUAGGAUUGGAAUCUAUGAAACUCCCUUCUGUUCCUGUAACCAUGAGUCCAUCGGGGAUCUGAACAUGUAUUCUUUGAUUGUCUUAAUCAUAGGGAUCAGACUCAAAACUUAUAUUUAGGUUUAAUUAACCUUAACAUUAGCCUUCCAAUUAGCAUCAGCAAUGUUUUAUCUUAUUCUGACAAAUCUAUAUUUAAUAUCUUAAUCAAGUUUAUAAAUGAUUCUAAGAUAAAAAUUUAAACAUAUCUAUAACAAAAUUCUGUGGCAAAAAGACUCUUUGUCUAAUGCCAUCUCUUUGGCGCGCGCGCUCCCACACACACACACACACACACACACACACACACACACACACACACACACACACACAAACACAAACACAAACACAAACACAAACACACACACACACACACACACAAACACACACACACACACACACACACACACACACACACACACACACACACACACACACACACACACACACACACACACACACACACAAACACAAACACACACACAAACACACACACACACACACACACACACACACACACACAACCUUUAUAAUCAUUACAUAUAAAGUACCUACGUAUUUAUUUUUAAGAAAUUUUAAAUGUCAAAGUCCUACUAAUCCAAUAUUGUUCAAUUUUCUGGUUAUACUCUAUAUAAUAAACAUGUAUUUAAGUUUUUGUCUUAAAUUUAAAAAAAAAAUUUCACUUUCCGUUAGUUUGGAUUUGCGGGGUUCUACUGUAUGUCAAAAAUAUAUAUGGGGGGGGGGGGGGGGGUCAAAAUAUAGUGAAUAACCCUGUACAUCAAGAAAUUUACUACCAACGUCUCUGUUACUGAAUAUAUCACUAAGUACAGGGCAACCUAUUUAAAACUUAAAGAAUCAGCUAAAAAAUUAUACUAUCAAAAUCAUCUGAGAAGCUUUAAAAGUGUUGCAAAAGAAAUUUGGUCCAUAAUAAACAAUCUUCGAAAUCAAACUCACACAGCUCAAACAUUUUCCCUUCCAGACCAUGAAUACUUUAUUAAUGUGAGUAAAAUUAUAACAUCAACUAUUUUGUCACAAGAGAUCAAUUUUGUUAAGAUCCGAUUUCCUAUCUCCCUAAUUCAAGAAAGGUCUCAAAUUCAUUAUUUAUAAGACUAGUUGAUUAAUCUGAACUGAUCCAAACAAUCAAUAGUAUCAAAAGCAAAUCUUCCUGUAGUACUGAUGGACUAUCCAUAAAAAUUGUCAUAAAAAUCUCCCAGAAAAUGUGUUGGGAGUCCUCAUCCCACUAACGACUCUUUUAAGGGGCUAUCCUAGUGUAAAAGAACGAAAUUCACAUACUUUUUUUGGGAAUAUCUAAAAUAAAAAGUACUGUACCAAUUGUUUUGAAAAUUUGCAUGACCAUUUAUUAUAAAAAGAAGUACAAGUAAAACAAUUUUCAUAAAAAAAAAUAAUGAAAAUUUAACGAUUUAUGCCCUAUCUACUGGCACAGUGAAAAUAAAAAACAUGGCUCCACUGCUGCAGUGAUUGGGACUAAUAGAGAUCCUGAAUUAUAAAAUUGCAAAGUGAUUAUUGAAAUAUAAGUUAUUUCCUAUGUCCUAUACCAUCAAUUAGGAUUUUUGGAAAAAUGACAGUGUUGAAAUUUUUUUUAAAUUAGCUAGAACAUUUUCAGUUUCAAAAACCGCCAAAUUGACAUUUUUUAUCCGAUUAAAAAAUCCCUAUUUGAUGGUAUAGAAAAUAACCUAUAUUUCAAUAAUAACUUUGAUAUUUUAUGUUUCAGGAUCUCUUUUAGUCCCAAUCACUGCAGCAGUGGAGCUAUGUUUUUAUUUUCACUGUGCCAGUAGAUGGCGAAUAAAUCGUUUAAUUUUCAAUAUUUUUUUAUGAAAAUUGUUUCACAUGUACUUCUUUUUAUAACAAAUGUUCAUGCAAAUUUUCAAAAUAAUUGGUACAGUAUUUUUUAUUUUAGAAAUUCCCAAAAAAGUAUAUGAAUUUCAUACUUUUACACUAGGAUAGCCCCUUAAGAAAGGUAAAUUUCUAGAGCUGCCUAAAGACAGCCAUCAUUAUUCCUCUUCAUAAGGGUGGUGAAAAAUCUAAUGCCUGCAAUUAUAGACCUAUUGCAUUACCACUGGUACUCUCAAAUAGGACUCAUAAUACACAAGUAUAAAAACUUGUUGCUGGUAUGAGCACAUUGUGUAAAUGUUAGGAUUUAAAGAGGAUAUAAAAACCUUCAAUACGAUUAUGAGUGUUAGUCUCUUUAUAUCCUAACAUUUUUUUGUUAUUGUUUUAGUUUAUUAUUGUUUUUUAUGACUCUUUGUAAGUUUUGUGUAUAAAUUGUACAAUUUUCCAUGACAAUAAAGCAUUUUUCUAUUUUAA